UUUACCCGACUGCGCCAGAAGGAGGGUUAUGUUUUUCGAGUGUAUGUAUGUAUGUAUGUAUGUAUGUAUGUAUGUAUGUAUGUAUAAUUGUUUGGCACGCUCUGCAGCCUAAACGGCUUGAUGGAUUUUGACUUGAGAGGUGUCGUUAGAUUCGUAUUUACUGUGAGAGUGA
Molecule: long non-coding RNA, 172 nt
Organism: Spodoptera frugiperda (fall armyworm)
Lineage: Eukaryota; Metazoa; Arthropoda; Insecta; Lepidoptera; Noctuidae
Exons: 2
Source: RefSeq, a predicted model, not a curated record